This 467-nucleotide ribosomal RNA is filed under the name uncultured bacterium. RNAcentral's name for it is "bacterial SSU rRNA". It matches the Rfam family "Bacterial small subunit ribosomal RNA", at positions 43 to 505 of the family's 1533-position model. The record is from RNAcentral.
CAGGCCUAACACAUGCAAGUCGAGCGGAGCGAGGGUGCUUGCACCUUAGCUUAGCGGCGGACGGGUGAGUAAUGCUUAGGAAUCUGCCUAUUAGUGGGGGACAACAUUCCGAAAGGAAUGCUAAUACCGCAUACGCCCUACGGGGGAAAGCAGGGGAUCUUCGGACCUUGCGCUAAUAGAUGAGCCUAAGUCGGAUUAGCUAGUUGGUGGGGUAAAGGCCUACCAAGGCGACGAUCUGUAGCGGGUCUGAGAGGAUGAUCCGCCACACUGGGACUGAGACACGGCCCAGACUCCUACGGGAGGCAGCAGUGGGGAAUAUUGGACAAUGGGCGGAAGCCUGAUCCAGCCAUGCCGCGUGUGUGAAGAAGGCCUUUUGGUUGUAAAGCACUUUAAGCGAGGAGGAGGCUCUUAAGGUUAAUACCCUUGAUGAGUGGACGUUACUCGCAGAAUAAGCACCGGCAACUCGG